UAGGGAAUAUUAGAAAUGGACGAAAGUCUGAUCUAGCAACACCGCGUGUGCGAAGAAGGCCUUCGGGUUGUAAAGCACUUUUUGGUAAGGAUUAGGAAGGAAUGUACUUCCAGAAUAAGUCUCGGCUAACUACGUGCCAGCAGCCGCGGUAACACGUAGGAGGCAAACGUUAUCCGGAUUUACUGGGCGUAAAGCGCGUGUAGGUGGUUCUGUAAGUAGGGCGUGAAAGCUCCUGGCUCAACUGGGAGAGGCCGUUCUAAACUGCAGAGCUAGAGGAUGGUAGAGGGAGGUGGAAUUCCGGGUGUAGCGGUGGAAUGCGCAGAUAUCCGGAGGAACACCAGUGGCGAAAGCGGCCUCCGUGGACCAUUCCUGACACUCAGACGCGAAAGCUAGGGUAGC
RNAcentral lists this ribosomal RNA (399 nucleotides) under uncultured bacterium. Its description in RNAcentral is "bacterial SSU rRNA". It matches the Rfam family "Bacterial small subunit ribosomal RNA", at positions 355 to 769 of the family's 1533-position model. The record is from RNAcentral.